GACAGAGGGUGCAAACGUUGCUCGGAAUCACUGGGCGUAAAGCGCGUGUAGGCUGGCGGCCAAGUCAGAUGUGAAAGCCCUGGGCUCAACCUAGGAACUGCAUCUGAAACUGGUCGCCUAGAGUACUGGAGAGGGAAGCGGAAUUCCUGGUGUAGAGGUGAAAUUCGUAGAUAUCAGGAGGAACACCGGUGGCGAAGGCGGCUUCCUGGACAGUAACUGACGCUGAGACGCGAAAGCGUGGGGAGCAAACAGG
Molecule: ribosomal RNA, 253 nt
Filed under: uncultured bacterium
Lineage: Bacteria
Description: partial 16S ribosomal RNA
Rfam family: Bacterial small subunit ribosomal RNA
Source: RNAcentral